CAAGGUUUCUGUAGGUGAACCUGCGGAAGGAUCAUU
RNAcentral lists this ribosomal RNA (36 nucleotides) under Phytophthora capsici. RNAcentral describes it as "partial 18S ribosomal RNA". Lineage: Eukaryota; Oomycota; Peronosporomycetes; Peronosporales; Peronosporaceae. The record is from RNAcentral.